UAGCGUAUAUUAAAGUUGCUGCAGUUAAAAAGCUCGUAGUUGGAUUUGUGGCGUGGUCGUCCGGCGGGGCUCCUUCAUUGGGGCCGUUUGUCUGGUUUUUCGACCGCACCAUUCUCGGGUAGUGUGUCGCUGGCAUUAGGUUGUCGGCUUCUUCACGCCCGUCGUUUACUGUGAAAAAAUUAGAGUGUUCAAAGCAGGCUUAGGCCGUUGGAUACAUUAGCAUGGAAUAAUGAGAUAGGGCCACGACGGUCUAUUUUGUUGGUUUGCACGUUGUGGUAAUGAUUAACAGGAACGGUUGGGGGUAUUCGUAUUCAAUUGUC
RNAcentral lists this ribosomal RNA (320 nucleotides) under uncultured Halothrix. RNAcentral describes it as "SSU rRNA". It matches the Rfam family "Eukaryotic small subunit ribosomal RNA", at positions 595 to 906 of the family's 1831-position model. The record is from RNAcentral. Lineage: Eukaryota; Phaeophyceae; Ectocarpales; Chordariaceae.